Pieris brassicae (large cabbage white) is the source of this 1015-nucleotide long non-coding RNA. RefSeq lists it as uncharacterized. Lineage: Eukaryota; Metazoa; Arthropoda; Insecta; Lepidoptera; Pieridae. The transcript is spliced from 3 exons. The record is from RefSeq and is a predicted model, not a curated record.
CAUUUAGUGCGAUUGCGCGGUACUUGGUAGGUGCAACACAUGCGUAUUAACUUUUGCAAUCGAACGACUUGUUGACAGGGAUCACCGAUAUUUUUUCCUAAGUUCAUUUGCUGGUUGGAAAACACGAUGGCUGAAGGCCUAAACCCUAUCCAUAACAUGCUGUGUGACCCAAAGGAACCAGUCGGCGGCUACGACGCGUUGCCGCUCGUAUUAAAGGAAUUCAUCAGAAAACAAAAAGCCGAGAGCUCAUUUCCCGCCCACAAUGGAAUUUGGGACUUUAUGCCAGCUCCCAGGGCUAAUGAUAUUGCUCCAGUAAAUCGUCCGCGCCGUAAUGAGGAUCCCAAUACCUAUGCCAUCAGGCCUUGCGGUGAAACUUAAAAAGAAUGGAGAACCGCGGGCGACUUCAGGAGACUGUCUUCUUAAGUAUUUAACUUAUAUAAUAUGUAACGUGAUUACUGUAAGUUUAACAUUGGCGGAUGCGAAUUUUUGUUUCAAUUACCUUUCAAUGAAAAUUUAUACUCAUUAAUUAAUAUAUUCCAACUUAACAAUUCCAAAAAUUGUUACUACCAACCGGUCAAUCAGUUAUGUUAGAAACUUGUUCUAUUAACGCUAAAAAGUGAUGUAAUGAUAUUGUAUGUGUAAUUGUAGUAAAUUAGUUUUAAGUAUCUUUGCUCAGAAGACAAGCAACAGCAAGUUCUUGUCCGAAAACUUUCCUUGGGCAGAAAAAGUUUAAACCUUAUUUUUUAAUACUAGGAUACAUAUAAUAUUCAGUCUUUAUUAUGGUAUUGUCAACCAAUAUAAGAUUGAUCGUCUUAAUGAAGACUAAAGCGUUUAGAGCAUGAAAAUGGAACCGUUUAUCGAUUAUAACUUGACAUAGCGGUUGAUGAUAUCCAUAAAGAGGGAAUAUUCACAAUUGUUUAGAUGUUUCAAUGUUUUCUAUAUGCUGUAGUUUUCAUUCGAAGAAACAUGUAUUAACCCCACUAUGUAUAUCAAAAUAAAGGGCAAUACAGCUUCG